UCCAGACUCCUACGGGAGGCAGCAGUGGGGGAUAUUGCACAAUGGGGGGAACCCUGAUGCAGCGACGCCGCGUGGGUGAAGAAGCGCCUCGGCGCGUAAAGCCCUGUCAGCAGGGAAGAAAAUGACGGUACCUGAAGAAGAAGCCCCGGCUAACUACGUGCCAGCAGCCGCGGUAAUACGGAGGAUGCGAGCGUUAUCCGGAUUUAUUGGGUUUAAAGGGUGCGUAGGCGGGCUGUUAAGUCAGCGGUAAAAGCCCGGGGCUCACCCCCGGCGAGCCGUUGAAACUGGCUGUCUUGAGAUGUCGAGAGGUAUGCGGAAUGCGCAGUGUAGCGGUGAAAUGCUUAGAUAUUGCGCAGAACUCCGAUUGCGAAGGCAGCAUACCGGCGCCCAACUGACGCUGAAGCACGAAAGCGUGGGUAUCGAACAGGAUUAGAUACCCGUGUAGG
This 446-nucleotide ribosomal RNA is filed under the name uncultured bacterium. RNAcentral describes it as "bacterial SSU rRNA". It matches the Rfam family "Bacterial small subunit ribosomal RNA", at positions 330 to 794 of the family's 1533-position model. The record is from RNAcentral.